Molecule: ribosomal RNA, 388 nt
Filed under: uncultured bacterium
Lineage: Bacteria
Description: bacterial SSU rRNA
Rfam family: Bacterial small subunit ribosomal RNA
Source: RNAcentral
GACGAACGCUGGCGGCGUGCUUAACACAUGCAAGUCGGGCGGUAAGGCCCUUUCGGGGGUACACGAGCGGCGAACGGGUGAGUAACACGUGGGUGACCUGCCCUCAGCUCUGGGAUAAGCCUGGGAAACCGGGUCUAAUACCGGAUAUGACUCCAUGACGCAUGUUGUGGGGUGGAAAGCCUUGUGCGGCUGAGGAUGGGCCCGCGGCCUAUCAGCUUGUUGGUGGGGUGAUGGCCUACCAAGGCGACGACGGGUAGCCGGCCUGAGAGGGCGACCGGCCACACUGGGACUGAGACACGGCCCAGACUCCUACGGGAGGCAGCAGUGGGGAAUCUUGCGCAAUGGGCGAAAGCCCUGACGCAGCGACGCCGCGUGAGGGAUGACGGCC